CGAGCCGUGGGGCCGCCAUCUUGAUCCGGUCACCCGCUCCACUCAGUGUUAUCUGUUUGACAGGCGCAAUUAAGUGUCAGAGCAUUUCAUCAAUCAUAACUUGCUGAAUACUAAACUGAUUUUCAUGCAGUUUUUUUUUUCUACAAACGUCACGCAUGUAUUUUGCAGCACAGUGCUCUGGCAUCUUGAAGUCUCUGCUGCUUCAGUUUACAGCCGUGGAUGUAAAUUUGAAGAACAACAAUUCCUUGGAGGCGCAGCAGACAAACUCUGGUCUGAACCAGAAUCUCAUUCUAGCUCCAGACACUAUUGUCAGCAAACAAUCUGAUCUGAGUUGGAAGAAAGAUUAAAGAGAUUAA
Notolabrus celidotus (New Zealand spotty) is the source of this 356-nucleotide long non-coding RNA. RefSeq lists it as uncharacterized. NCBI's taxonomy places the organism in Eukaryota, Metazoa, Chordata, Actinopteri, Labriformes, Labridae. The record is from RefSeq and is a predicted model, not a curated record. The transcript is spliced from 3 exons.